Molecule: ribosomal RNA, 501 nt
Filed under: uncultured bacterium
Lineage: Bacteria
Description: bacterial SSU rRNA
Rfam family: Bacterial small subunit ribosomal RNA
Source: RNAcentral
CUGGCUCAGGAUGAACGCUGGCGGCGUGCCUAAUACAUGCAAGUGAAACGGGUAUCUUCGAAUACCAGUCGCGGACGGGUGAGUAAUACAUAGGCAACCUGCCUUUAUGAGGGGGAUAACCGAGGGAAACUUUGGCUAAUACCGCAUGAAGACUCUAAGGCAUCUUAGAGGGAUAAAAGUUGGGAAACAACGCAUGAAGAUGGGCUUAUGGCGCAUUAGCUAGUUGGUGAGAUAGAAGCCCACCAAGGUAAUGAUGCGUAGCCGACCUGAGAGGGUGAACGGCCACAUUGGGACUGAGACACGGCCCAAACUCCUACGGGAGGCAGCAGUAGGGAAUUUUCGGCAAUGGGGGGAACCCUGACCGAGCAACGCCGCGUGAAAGGAAGAAGGUUUUCGGAUUGUAAACUUCUGUUAUAAGGGAAGAACGGAUUGGAUAGGGAAUGAUCUGAUAGUGACGGUACCUUAUUAGAAAGCCACGGCUAACUACGUGCCAGCCGCUGC